Long non-coding RNA from Lynx canadensis (Canada lynx), 357 nucleotides. RefSeq lists it as uncharacterized. The transcript has 2 exons. The record is from RefSeq and is a predicted model, not a curated record. Lineage: Eukaryota; Metazoa; Chordata; Mammalia; Carnivora; Felidae.
CUCGGCGUGAAUUUCUUGGGAGGGCAGGAAGCAAGAACUGGGCUUCCCCGGGACUGAGGAAGGUUCACCAGCCCGGCAGAAGCCACGACAGGAGAUAAAGGAGUCUCCCUGGAGAGGCACGACCAGAGAAUUCCCCCUCGGACCGCAAUCCUGGGCUCAGCUGCCAUUGGCUAGACGAGGGCCAGACGUUCCGGGCGGUCACCGAACGGCACCUUGGCUUACAGCUGAAGAACUCUAGCCAUACCAAACCGGACUAGAAAACAGACUUUAAUUUUACACGUACGAAUGUCAGCUCAGGUUUACAGCAGGUAAGAAAAAUAUAUACAAACUGCAGCUUAAAAAAGGAAAAGGAAGAAA